GUCAAAACAUAAACGUAUUUCAAAAGAUACUAAAAAACAUUCGGCUUGCGAUCGCGAGACAGGCUACAGUAAAUUUUUGGAGGCUGUGUUUAGAUCUUGUCCUACUAAUUUAUUUUCUGUUUCUGCGCGUCUAAAAGCCACAAACCAUAAAGCCGACACAAGACAAAGCUAUAGUCACAAGCUAAACAGAACGAGCAAAGUUGUAAUAUAAGAAGAUAUUUCGGAGAUUCCUGCAUGGUCCAGAGCCAGACAAAGAAGGAGUCUCCCCCAAAUCGGGCUGGCAAUUGCCUUGCAGCAAAGCCAUCAACAAAACAAGACAAGACAAGACAAGAUACUAAAAAAAAAUAAAAAAAUGUGGCAAAAAAAACAAAACAAUACCCGUUGUCAGGCGCCAAUUUGUUAAAUAAAAAAAAUAAAAAUAAAGAAUUAAUAAUUAUAAUUAAUCAAUAAAAAUUUAAUACUUUAA
This is a long non-coding RNA of Anthonomus grandis grandis, 466 nucleotides long. RefSeq lists it as uncharacterized. NCBI's taxonomy places the organism in Eukaryota, Metazoa, Arthropoda, Insecta, Coleoptera, Curculionidae. The transcript is spliced from 2 exons. The record is from RefSeq and is a predicted model, not a curated record.